Molecule: ribosomal RNA, 252 nt
Filed under: uncultured bacterium
Lineage: Bacteria
Description: partial 16S ribosomal RNA
Rfam family: Bacterial small subunit ribosomal RNA
Source: RNAcentral
UACGGAGGAUGCGAGCGUUAUCCGGAUUUAUUGGGUUUAAAGGGUGCGCAGGCGGAUUUUUAAGUCAGCGGUCAAAUCGUGGGGCUCAACCCCAUCCAGCCGUUGAAACUGGGGAUCUAGAGUGUGCGAGAGGUAUGCGGAAUGCGUGGUGUAGCGGUGAAAUGCAUAGAUAUCACGCAGAACCCCGAUUGCGAAGGCAGCAUACCGGUGCACAACUGACGCUCAGGCACGAAAGCGUGGGUAUCAAACAGG